AAAUGAAACAGAGAAUAUAUUUUCGUUAAUGGAGAAAAAAAAAAUGACUGGAAAAGAUUUUUGCUGCUUCUGCUAAAAGUGCUCCAAGAUGCCAGCAUUCAAUCAAGACAUGAAAUUUACUUUCUGAGUCAGAGACCUGUGAAAUUUGAAUCAAAUUCUUCAAAAGUGUCAUUCUGGGUAAAUAUUCAUGAAACACACCUGAAGAAACUAUCAUCACUCCUUCAGGAAUUUCAUCAAAAAGAGAAGGUGUUUUACUGCAGAAGUUUUCUUGUGAACAGAAGCUAUAUGAGAUGA
RNAcentral lists this long non-coding RNA (294 nucleotides) under Parus major (Great Tit). RNAcentral's name for it is "lncRNA (ENSPMJG00000014369.1)". The record is from RNAcentral. Lineage: Eukaryota; Metazoa; Chordata; Aves; Passeriformes; Paridae.